GGGACACGUGGUAUCCUGUCUGAAUAUGGGGGGACCAUCCUCCAAGGCUAAAUACUCCUGACUGACCGAUAGUGAACCAGUACCGUGAGGGAAAGGCGAAAAGAACCCCGGCGAGGGGAGUGAAAAAGAACCUGAAACCGUGUACGUACAAGCAGUGGGAGCACCUUCGGGUGUGACUGCGUACCUUUUGUAUAAUGGGUCAGCGACUUAUAUUCUGUAGCAAGGUUAACCGUAUAGGGGAGCCGCAGGGAAACCGAGUCUUAACUGGGCGUUAAGUUGCAGGGUAUAGACCCGAAACCCGGUGAUCUAGCCAUGGGCAGGUUGAAGGUUGGGUAACACUAACUGGAGGACCGAACCGACUAAUGUUGAAAAAUUAGCGGAUGACUUGUGGCUGGGGGUGAAAGGCCAAUCAAACCGGGAGAUAGCUGGUUCUCCCCGAAAGCUAUUUAGGUAGCGCCU
RNAcentral lists this ribosomal RNA (459 nucleotides) under Klebsiella pneumoniae. RNAcentral describes it as "partial 23S ribosomal RNA". It matches the Rfam family "Bacterial large subunit ribosomal RNA", at positions 419 to 882 of the family's 2925-position model. Lineage: Bacteria; Pseudomonadati; Pseudomonadota; Gammaproteobacteria; Enterobacterales; Enterobacteriaceae. The record is from RNAcentral. RNAcentral also lists the same sequence under 1 other name.